RNAcentral lists this ribosomal RNA (254 nucleotides) under uncultured bacterium. RNAcentral's name for it is "partial 16S ribosomal RNA". It matches the Rfam family "Bacterial small subunit ribosomal RNA", at positions 524 to 776 of the family's 1533-position model. The record is from RNAcentral.
UACGUAGGGGGCAAGCGUUGUCCGGAUUUAUUGGGCGUAAAGAGCUCGUAGGUGGUUCGGUAAGUCGGAUGUGAAAUCUCCAGGCUCAACCUGGAGGGGUCAUUCGAUACUGCCGUGACUAGAGUUCGGUAGGGGAGUGUGGAAUUCCUGGUGGAGCGGUGAAAUGCGCAGAUAUCAGGAGGAACACCCGUAGCGAAGGCGGCAAUCUGGGCCGAUACUGACACUGAGGAGCGAAAGCGUGGGGAGCGAACAGG